Caretta caretta (loggerhead turtle) is the source of this 2610-nucleotide non-coding RNA. Lineage: Eukaryota; Metazoa; Chordata; Testudines; Cheloniidae. The record is from RefSeq and is a predicted model, not a curated record.
GUCAGUGACGCCCCCACCUUCAAAUUUAGUGUCCCUCCAGGCUCACUUGCAAUAGCCCCCACACAGCUUCCUUCUGGCUGCAGCACCUCUGAGGGCGAGGAGCGUGGCUGCUCUGAUGUGCUGUGACUGAGAUUUGUCAGUUGGUCUGUUUGCAACUUUUCAGAUAACUGAGAUACGGGGCAGGAUGAAAUGUAACCAACUGAGUGGAGCACAGAAACGUAAACUGGUGGAAGAAAAGAAACAAAAAACUAGUGAAGUUUUCCAAAAUCUUCCAAAGCUGACAUCAUUUUUCAAAGCGAAUCCAUCAGAAACAACAUCUUCUCUCAGUAGCACAGACAUCAUUUCAAAACCUGUAGGUGUUUCAGAGACUGACUCUUCUUCUGUUGAUGAAACAAACACCAUUCCACAACAUGUGGAUGUGUCAGAGACUGUAACUGAUCAUCCUGCUCCUGGUGGUAAAACAGACAUUGUUCUAGAAGGUGUGGAUGUGUCAGAGACUGAACCUGCUCAUGCUGUAAAUAAUAGGAGAAAAGAUCCUGGUAUGUGGGUUGAUUUCAGUACUGAUGAUGUAGCUUACUGGAUAGAUCGUGGACCAAAUGACUGUCAACACCACACUGGGCCAUUUGAGAAAUCACAUCGGAUUUUUACCAAUUGCAAACAAACAAGAUAUUGUCCACAAAAAAUAUUUUUCGUCAUGAAAGCGAACGGAGAGAAAUACACUCAAGAAUGGCUACUGUAUUCACCAUCAGCAGGGUCUGUGUACUGUUUUGUUUGAAAACUUUUUGCAUAUAAACCUUCAACAUCCCAGUUUGCUGCAGAUGGAUUUAGUGACUGGCGGAAUACUGUUUUAAUUGAACGACAAGAAAAUAGCACUACUCACAGAGACUCAAUGUUGACAUAUUUAAAUCAAAGACAAGGCUUCAUUUUUAGCAGGCCAUAUCUCAAAAUAUGGGAGUGCUGGCAAAGGUAACCCAUCAUACUUAUCCAAGACAAUAUGUGAUGAACUCAUUCGUCUAAUGAGUGACAAAGUUCAUUUCAGCUAUUGUGGAUGAAAUAAGUACUGCUGGAUACUUCAGUUUAUCUGUUGACUCUACACCUGAUCUUUCACAUAUUGAUCAAAUGAGUAUUGUACUAAGAUAUGUGUCUCCCACAGAUGGAAAACCAGUUGAACGAUUUAUAACAUUCCUCAAUUUGAAAAGCCACACUGGUGAAGAAAUGGCAAAUCAAGUACUGCAUUAUUUGUGCCAAGUUUGCAAAAUAGAUUUCUCAAAGUGCAGAGGUCAAUCUUAUGACAACGCUGCCAACAUGUCAGGGCGUUAUCAAGGAAUGCAGAAGAAGCUUUUAGAACAGAACAAAUAUGCUAUAUUCAUACCAUGUGCUGCACACGCUCUCAGUCUUGCUGGCCGCAGUGCUGUUGAUUGUUGUCCAGUGGCAGUAAGUUUUUUCUCAACAGUCCAGUUACUUUACGUUUUACUCUGCCUCAGCACACUGAUGGGCAGUUCUUAAAACAUAUUUUGGCAAUGAUCAUGUGUUGAAAUCUCUCUCUAAUACUCUCUGGGAAGCAUGCAGUGGCAACAAGUGCAAUUCUGGAGACCUUCUCAAAGAUUGUGGAUGCAUUAGAAUGUAUAGCUGAAGACCAAUCACAAAAGGGAGAAACUAUACGAGAGGCAGAAAACAUUGCAAACAAGAUGCAAGAACUAGAGUUUGUAUUCAUGUUGACCAUGUGGAAUGAAAUUUUACAACACUUUUACCACACAAGUCAAGCUCUCCAAGAAAAAGAAUUGGAUUUGAAAACAUGUGCAGACCUCUGUCAAUCAUUAGCAGACCACUUACACGCUUUGAGGAAUGAUUUUGAAAGAUUUGAAGACCUAUCAAAAGAUAUCUUGCCUGAUACUAACUACAAAGAAGCCCAGUCCCGCAAGCAACUCAGGAAGAAACAAGCAAAUGAUAGCAGUGCAACAGAAACAGCAUUGAAUCCUAGAGACAAAUUUUGCGUAUCUAUUUACUACGCUAUAAUUGAUACACUUGAAGCUCAUAUGAAGAAGAGAGGUGAAGUGUACAAAGAAGUAUCACGUAGAUUUUCUUUUCUAAAUGAUAUGGACUUAUCUGAGUAACAAUAUUCCCCAGGUUCCCAAAAGCUAGUUGACUCAUACCCUGUUGAGUUGAACAUGAAUCUCUUUGGAGAAGUACAGCAGUUCCGCUGUUAUAUGCGCUCAAAGUUUAAUGAAACAGGAAAAAUAAAAUUCAGUCACAUUGAUCUUCAUGACACAGUAUUGAAAGACGGAAUACAAUGUGUAUUUCCAAAUGUAGAGAUCGCACUAUGUAUUUUCCAACAUUGAUGAUUACUAACUGCUCCACAGAACACUCUUUUUCUCAGCUGAAAAGAAUAAAAAACCCUCAGAGAACAACAGUGUGUUAGGACAGACUUUGAUUCACUUUCCCUAUUGUGUAUGGAAGCAGACAUGCUUCAUUGAGUCAGCUUCGAUGAACUUAUCCAGAAUUUUGCAAUCAGAUUUUGCAAUCAGAAAAUCUAGAAAGAAACUAUUUUAAUUUCAGCAUACAUGUAAGUUUUUGUGUCAUUUCGAAAAAAUAAAAUUUUAUUUUAUGGUA